RNAcentral lists this ribosomal RNA (484 nucleotides) under uncultured bacterium. RNAcentral describes it as "partial 16S ribosomal RNA". It matches the Rfam family "Bacterial small subunit ribosomal RNA", at positions 30 to 507 of the family's 1533-position model. The record is from RNAcentral.
AUUGAACGCUGGCGGCAGGCCUAACACAUGCAAGUCGAGCGGAUGAAGGGAGCUUGCUCCUGGAUUCAGCGGCGGACGGGCGAGUAAUGCCUAGGAAUCUGCCUGGCAGUGGGGGAUAACGUCCGGAAACGGGCGCUAAUACCGCAUACGUCCUGAGGGAGAAAGUGGGGGAUCUUCGGACCUCACGCUAUCAGAUGAGCCUAGGUCGGAUUAGCUAGUUGGUGGGGUAAAGGCCUACCAAGGCGACGAUCCGUAACUGGUCUGAGAGGAUGAUCAGUCACACUGGAACUGAGACACGGUCCAGACUCCUACGGGAGGCAGCAGUGGGGAAUAUUGCACAAAGGGCGAAAGCCUGAUCCAGCCAUGCCGCGUGUGUGAAGAAGGUCUUCGGAUUGUAAAGCACUUUAAGUUGGGAGGAAGGACAGUAAGUUAAUACCUGGCUGUUUUGACGUUACCAACAGAAUAAGCCCCGGCUAACUUCGUG